Molecule: non-coding RNA, 14608 nt
Organism: Xyrichtys novacula (pearly razorfish)
Lineage: Eukaryota; Metazoa; Chordata; Actinopteri; Labriformes; Labridae
Source: the annotation of a GenBank genome assembly
AUUCGCCAAACCAGAGGAGCAGUAAGCAGAGAGGGAAAACGGUCACCAUUACAACACUAACAUGUCAAAAAUACAGUUAAAUUUACUGUGUUUUUUCAAAAUGAAGGAAGAGUUUCAUGACACUCCAAAAACGAGUCAGUAAAGCCUCUACAAGCGGCGACGAGGGCAGCAACUGCGGCGGUUAUGUUACCGGUUUAAACCGGCUACAGCAGGAGGCUCGCGAGCGCCGCGACCAUAGACUGUAUACACUAUACUAUAUUCUACUAUACAGUCUAUGGCCGCGACAGUUAGCCGAGCCAAGGCAGGAGGCUGGUACCGCGGCAGGAGCUGGUUAGGUUCACCGCCAGCCGGAGCAGGAGCCGGUUACAGCCCGGUGGGCCACCAUCAGGCGGAUACGCUGGUAUCAGUUAACCCGGUACAACAACCGGAGUAAGAGGCGGGAACCGCGACAUCAGCAGAAAGAUCGAGAAGGAGAGGAGAGCGGACCGAGGAGAGGACUGAGGGACGGGAGGUCGUGGGUGAUCAAAGGACCCAGAACUGUCACAGACACACGGAGUUAAACCCGAAAUAGGAGGAGGAGGAGGAGGAUCCGGACAUGGUCGUGAUGUGGAGGAGUUUUGGACUAAACACGGUGAGUAAACUGUCUAUUAACAGGCCGCCGUGCCAAACUUUGACUAAUAAUAAUAGUAAUAAUAGAAGAUUUGUGUGAUUUAUUUAAAGCUCUUUUCUACGUUAGACAUGUUGAGAAAGUUAUUUUGCUGACUCUUUACUGCAAGUCCCACCUGUGGUGUUGUGGGCAUUUGUCUGUGCUGUGCAGAGUAGGGGAGAGUGGGUUAAGAUGAUCCAUUUUUCAUAUUUCAGAUCACUCCAUCAAGUCAAUCCUAGUUAUUCCAUGGAUGUUAUUUGAAGUUGAGGCUUGUAAGUCCCACAGCAUGGUAAGUGGGCAUUUGCAUGUUGUUUUCAGUUCAUUUUCGAUAAAUGUUCCGGGACCCGUCUCCUCAUCCCUGAGCUCUCAUAUUAUGAUUUACUAAUUAAAUACUGUGAAGAGGUGGUUCAAAAGUUAGAGACAAACUUUUGCAGAUGUUGAAAGAUCAACAAUUCAGCUCAUUGAGGACCAUUAUUUCUUAUUUUGCAGACGAGCAGGGAACUUUCUUGUCUCUUGUUGAUCUUUGGUUGCCUCUCAUUGGACACAACCGUCAAGGGAAAGAUAGAAGAAGAAUAUUAGACCAUGUAAUUGGUCGAAAGUUUGACAGAGAAAGACGUCAUCAAAACAUAUCGUCAAACCUGGAAGACAUUAGCGGCAUUUAGCGAUAGCUAUCUUUUUUAUCACAACAGUCUGAUAAAUAAUCCUGUUUUCACCGGUUUAUCACUGCGGAUUUACCACCAAACGUCUCUGAUCAAACACCUGUUUUUGUGGCUGGAUUGUAAACCUUGUGGCCGGUGUAGAAAUGUCUGGAAACCCUCAAUAGAUCGCCAAAAGGGUAAACUUUUGAUCACAUUUUAUCCUGUAGAGAUACGCUGUAUAAUUCCUGAGAAACUGUGAACUGUAUUAAUGGGGUCACGUGAGAUCGCUGGCGAUCCAGCAGAGUUCUAAGUGUUAAAUAAAUAAAGGCUCUCUUCUCUUCUUUUAGCCAACAACUCUUCCUUCAGUCCUGGGAUCUCCCCCCAGUGGACAGGAAGAGGAUCUUUUCCAAGUCAAGUAUCCAGGAUAAGGGUGCCAGAUGUAAAGAAAAACACUCUGAUUAGUGACCUUUAGAUUAAAACAGCAACACUUAAAUCGAUCCGCUCCUUCAAGUGGCUCUGUCAGAGAAACAAACAGUAAAAAGCCUUCCUUUGUUAGCAGAUCCUCGCUGCAGGAAAACCUCCUCUGUCCUCAUAAUUCCCCUCCUCUCUCUUUGGAGCCACUGAAACUGCCCGUGUCAUAAAAGCUUUGUUGGAUUUAGGGCCUAUAGGAAGCCUCGGGCCCCUGGCCAAUUCAAGCAAGCUGCUCUCAGCGAGUGAAACCAGAGAAAUGGCAAUGCUCGUGGGAGCAGGGGUAAUGAUUCAAAGACACCCAUUCAGCAGCCGCACACUCUCCCAGGGCCAUAAGCUACACAAUCAGGACUAUACAAGGAUCACACACUCUCUCUUCGUACCUCCAUGUAGUCAGUUAUGCAUACGUCUUACUGAUUGUUUUAAUGUUCUCAGUAAAGUGCCGACAAAAUCCUUGGAUUUAUGGACAUUUUUCAACAGUUUAGGGUCUGUUUAAAAGCCGUUAGCAGUGAAAAUAAACUCUUAUUUUGACCUCCUGUUAGAGAAUAAAUUUACCUCAUCACACUGGAGUCAUAAAACAUUUCUAAACCUAUUAAAUUAGCGACAUCAACUGCAGCAUAAUCAAAUUCCCUGCAUUAAAGAGCAUUUUGGAGACAUUCUGGGUAGCUGUCAGAAGUCAUUAAGUAAGAAAAGAAAGGUCACAUUGGGACACCAAACCAUAACGAAAAACAGAAGAGAAAUAAAUCCUCCUCCUUUCAGUGCGUUCAUCAACCAGUGUAUUAUUAAAGUAGAAAAAGCCCACCUUCAAAAUAUGAUUGAAGCUUUUGCACCAGCAGGUCAAGUUUUAGUCAGGGAAGGAGAUUUUACCAAAGACAGAUAGUUUUACCUGAGAAGCAGGUCGUCCUGCAAUCCAUGCAACAGCGUCAGAGCUAGUGGACAGGAUGUACCGCAAAACAGCUACUACAGGUCCCAUCACAGUAACAUCACCCAGAGUACGAUGCAUCAAUUAACACCAGGCAAAUCGGGGAAGACGAUAAGUCGGAAACCAAAUAAGGCAGUUUGCGCAAAAUGCUGAAAAAUUUUUGGUUUAGAUAGCUCUCCUCACAGUUUCUCUUUAAAGGAGCUGAACUAAACUGCAUCUAAUAUGGCUGAAACACUUAUCCUGCAUUCGAGUUACCUUGGAAAUCAGAUGUCGGAGCUGAAAAUGACGUCACACUCAAGUUUCAGUUAGCAAGUCUGGAAAAAAAAGCAAAAUCAGAGGCAGAAACAGGAUGGCUACAUCCACGAAAGUUAUUUUAACGCUUGUCUUAUGUCCGGACAAGGCAAGUGCUAAAAUAACUUUCAUAGACGUAGCCAUUUUGUUUCUGCCUCCGAUUUUGCUUUUUUACAACUUGGGAACUAAAACGCUGGUAACUCGGGUGUGACGUCAUUUUUAGUGACGUCACACCCAAGCGUUCGUAAAAAAACAACAACAGUGUUCAAAUCUGUGACAUCUGUGUCAUCUGCAAAGACUUAAAGACACCUGCAGAGGUCUGACUCACCUUGCCUAAUGUUAAGGAUUAUGUUGCUAUGGAAACGUUUCCGACUUGUAAAUCAGCAGGACUAAUGAUGUGUUCAAGUGACCUCAGAAGUAAGAAGUCCGAGCUGAAAAUGACGUCACACCCGAGCUACCAACGUUUCAGUUACCAAGUUGGAAAAAAAAUCAAAAUUGGAAACAAGAUGGCUACAUCUACGAAAAUUAUUUUGGCGCUUGCCUUGUCCGAAUAUAAGUCAAGCGCCAAAAUAAAUUUCGUAGAUGUAGCCAUCUUGUUUUAGGCUUCUGAUAUUGCUUUUUUUUUCCGACUUGGUAACUGACGUGAGUGUGACAUCAUUUUCAGCUCCGACAUCUGACUUCCGAGGUAACUGUAACGCAGCAUAAACACAUCAUUUAUAAAUCAAUAAUGUUUAAACUCGUGUCUCGUGUGGAUUAGAUAGCGCCUUUCACUCAUUCAGGGUUCUAAUUAGCUUGAACAACCCCCUCACUUUCAUUACCCUGAUCCCCGUCAGUCUGUGAAUUACUCAUAAAUGGUUGCGUAGUUCCUCCUUCAAACAAAGCCCUUCGUUGUAAUUUUACUUCCUAGAAUGAGCUAAUAUGAAGUCAAACAGGGUUCCAGAGAUUUUCACUCUGAUCUAAUUUCUUACAUCUGACAUUUAUCAGCAACGAGGGAAACUAAUACGACUUGAUUUGCUGUUUUAUUAGCAAUGCAACAGAAAAGAGGACCUUGUUGGUCUAAUGACAACACACCCCCUCCGCUGAGAUUGAAGUCACAUUGGCUGUUGGUAACGAGGACAGUCAGGAAAGCUGCCAGGGCGCAUGAUCAAUUGUUGUCCUUGCAUCACAUUGAGUCCGGUCCUGGUGUUUGCAUACACAGUUUAAAGGACUCUAUCGGUAACAGGGAGGGAAAAUGAAAAAAGGUGUCCGGUAAAAUGUUCCUUUCACAAUCUGAUUUCAUGCCUCGGUGCCUGUGCGCGGAUAAUAACUGACCUAUUGUUGGGGUGACUGCAAAUCAUGUAAAAGCCAUAAUCUAAGUCUUACAAUAAUCUGGGUUUUUACUGUAAUCGACUUGUUUGUUAAUGUCCCGUGUGAAUGUUGCUUUCAUGUAUUUAUGACUCAUGUUUGACUGAAAUAACCCCACCGCCUGCCCCCACCCCGCUGCCCUCACAACACACCCUCACACACUAAUCAAUACGAACACCCAUGCUGUAAUGUGUGUGUUAGUGUAUUUUCUCUGCCCUGCAGCUCGACACAACCCUGCAACACAUCUUUAACAAUCAGGCAGAGAAAAGACCAACCCCCCCCGCCCCACACACACACACACACACACACACACACACACACACACACACACACACACCCAAUACUCCCCCCUUAUAAAUACAUAAGCACUGCUUUACAAUAGGGCACAGCAUAUGUGAGUGUUCAUGGGGCUGUCAGGGGAGGGGGGCAUGCUGAACAUGGGUUACAUGAGGUGAUAGUCAAUAGUCAGUGUGUUACCCACAGAGGAUGCUGGCCGGCUCGACCCCUUUUGUUGAGAAACCAGCUGGAGCGCCGGGACAGAAACUGAAAAUCUCUGCAGACGGGGUCAAACUCAGACCCAAAGACUGAAUUUAGAAAAGUUUCAAAACAUAAAUGUAAUUAAUGUAAAAUUAAUUUAGGGUCAGACUAGUGCUGGGCGAUAGGACGAUACAUAUCGUGGGCACGAUAGAAAAUGUCUAUCGUGCCAUUUUUAUUGUUAUCGUUUCGGGCGAUAGGCUGUAUUUAAUCCAUAGGGCUUGUGCCAUCAGAUGAUUCAUAGUGACAACAACAAAAAUUGCACAUUCAGUAAGUGUAUUUGGUGUCGAACGGGAAAGAAAACAAUAUUUUCUUACAAAGAAAAGGAUGCGUUGACAUGUAGGCUUGCAUUUCUCUUUCGAUUUUGCGACAUGACGCCGCUUAACGUGCCCUCUUCGUGUCCAGCGUCUCCCGCCGUUGCGGGUUACCUGGGUUACACACGUGAGGGGAUCAUUGUAAGCAGUGCUUAAUUUGUGCCGGAGCAAGUCGGAGCGCGAUCCGGGACCUCUUUUGAUCGGAUCCGGGACCUAUUUCAGCCGCUCCGGCACCUGUUUCAUCUGCUCCGGGACCUUCCCUGUAGAGGAUGACAUUUUUCGGGAAUUCCCGUGGGUCACGUGAUUCCCGCGGGAAUCCCACGGGAUGGGAGUCAUUUUUUAAUUAAUCCCUUGAUCGGGACGGGACGGGGAAAAAGGCAACGGGAGUGGGCAGGAGCGGGAACAACAUUAAAAGAUGAUCAUUUUCAGCCGUGUUUAACAACCAGCUGAACAGGUGCGUCCAUUGUUGUAGUCAUCUCUCAGUGAGAGCCAACACUCUUGACCGCGCUAGCAACACAAAAGAACUACAACAGUGGUUUGACUUCCUGUCAGCUUGGCGCGGCUGCGCAUUUCUACCCUUCAAGCCAGCAGCGAGGAAACGUAAUUUUGUGACAUUCUGUAGUUUUUCAAUCAUUUCUGGAGUCGUGGCGAAUCAAAUCACCUUACCUGUCUGCCCCUGAUAGGCGAAUAAAGCGCUCGGAUUCAUGCUCGGGUCUUCCUACGUGCUUCAAGAGUAAAGUAAACAAUGAUGGAGGCAGAGAGCAGCUUUGGAGGAGAAACAUCUAGCAGUGUGAACAACCUCUUCAAAAGAGCCCUAAAGACCUACCUUUUUAAUAAAGCCUUUGGUUAACUUUCCUCUAUGCUUUUACUACCUUGCCUCUUACAUUGCAACUCUAUAUUUUUUAUUUUUUUAAAUUCUUUUUUUAUGCCAAUCUGUGACUGUUAUUCUAUUGCUUUUUUAUUGUUGCUGCUCUUUUUUUACUGUGUACUGUAGCACUUUUAGAUUUUUUGUAAAUGUAAAGUGCAUUACAAAUUAAAUUUAUUAUUAUUAUUAUUAUUAUUAUUAUUAUUAUUAUUAUGGAGUGCUUUGGCUCACACUAUCGGCGUUUUCUGUGAGUGUUGCAUAACUUUGGGUGAGCACAGACAUGAACGCACUUCGGCCACGUAUUUAUUUAUUCAUUUUUCUAGUUUUAAGUGCUGGUCUUGUACUGGUACUGUACUAGUGCAGCUGUAUACACUUAAAUUUUUCAUAGAACUGAAAGCAUACCAUAGCUAUAUUGUGAUAUAUAUCGUUAUCGUGAUAUAAAAUGAUCCAUAUCGUGAUAUACAUUUUUUUCCAUAUCGCCCAGCACUAGGUCAGACAGACCGUAACACUGAGUUAGACCCCCCCCUCCAGAGAUGAAUGUUGUCGACCGCUUGCUUCUCUAGUUAUACCAACUUUAGUAACGACCGCAGGAUAGUAAUACAGAGAGGUCUGAGGAGCCAUAAACAAACCUCAACCAAAACACCACUCUAUAGCCACAAAUAAUGCUCAGAACAGCACCUAACUUCAUCAACAGGACAUACAGGGUCACAGACAUAGUACCAGUGUUACAGCCCGGCUCGUAGGCUGUUACAAGUAAUGGGGAAGACACAGAGUGUUAUUGUUAAACAAAGAUGAACUCACUUUCUAAAUUAAUGAACAUGUUUCCGUUAUGUGUGUGAGUGAGAGUCAGUAAGGAAACUAGGUGUCAUGCAGUGUAAGUGUUGAGGAGCGUGUCGGGUGCAUUAAAGAAACAAAAGUAGCUGCUUGGAGGAUGAAGGAAGAGAGGGAGCGUGAGGCCGCGGCGGAAGUCGGUCUUUUAUAGCCCCGGUAACACACUGGGCCCUAGUGGUCACCGGAACACGUCAGCCACUGCACCUCAAAAUAAAACAGGACAUAUAUACUCGGUCACAACUAGACACCAAACGUCUUUUUAACUUUUUUUAGCAAAGAGACUAAACACAACUCACCUACUCUCUUCCAGCAGACGCUUGUUUGUAGAGAGACCUCAGGCCGGUCUAUUACAGACUACAACGGGGUGCCGCAGCUCAAGGAAGAACAUUUAUGAUCAUUUCUUCAUGGAAAUACAAUCAGACCGAGACGCUAAGACAGAAGAACUACCACGUCUGCAGUGCAAAAUGGUUAAUAUGGUGAUUAUUACUUCAAAUAAUCGAUAAAGAAAUGAUCAUAAAUGUUCUUGAUUGAGCUGCGGCACCCCGCUCCUCAGACCGCUGUGUAUUGCUAUCCCACAGUCGUUACUCAAGUUUUGUUAUAACUAGAGAAGUAAGCGGUCAGAAUCUGAAUGAAUCUGACGCAGUGUUCAAAUCAAAUGUAAAUAAAACUAUUUACUCGCUUAAUUCGUGUAAAUAACUCACUCCGCUUACGUACUCUGUUAAAUUCACAAAAAGGAGGAAUUUCCGUCACGCCAUUAUGGUCUGUUUUCAACAAACGUGGCUGCAAGGAUUUCUGUGUUUUUACAACUUAACCAGAAUGUACAUCACAGAUUUGAAGCGCAGACCAGAAGAGAGAGGGGACAAACUUCUGUGCAGGAUGGAGAGCAAGAAAAAUUGUCUGGUGGUCCAGGUGUGUAAACUGUGAACCUGGGGAAACUCAGAGAAGACUCGGUAGAUCUUACAUCAUUUGUACAACAACAAAAGCACUGAAGCGUGAAGUACGCACCGUGUGAAUGGGGUGAAUUGUGUACAUCAAGUGUAAAAUCAGAGGGUAAAGCGAUGGUGGGGUGAGGUGGGGUGAUGAUGGGAGGGGUGUAAAGCAGUAAAGGAGGGGUUUAGCGGCAGCUGCCCAGAGAGUGACGACUGUACAGGAGGGAGGCAGAGGAAUAAGAGCGAGGGAAAGAGGAGCAGAGGGAGGGAACCCCGAGAGGGGGGAGCAUGCAGGGACGGAGGGGUAGAGCCUGAGCUGUCAGUGCAGGAGAGCGGAUGGAGGAGUGAGAACAAGCAGAGCUGCACGCCAAACAAACUACGCCAAACAGUGCAAAACUUGGUGCAUAUGAGGGAUUUAUACGCAGGCAGAUCCAGGAGGAAGACAAAAGUCACAACGGGGUAAAAAUACGAUUUCAGGUUUUCCAUGGGAACAGGAUUCCUUAAUGGUCCAUGUUUCUGGUUUUUGAUGGUUUCCGUGCUCCUGGUCCCACCAGCUGCCAGCACUGUCACAGGGUUAUUGAGGCCUUGAGCCACACAGAUAAUCAGCUUUAUUAGUGCUGCCGCUAAAACCAAUUUAAGAGCAGACUAGAGGGAUCAGACGGGCCAGCUGUCCACACCAGCGCCUCGGCAGGCACCCCGGCCCCAGCCCACACAAAACACCAAAACAACAACGAGCCAACUGUGCGCACUGCCAAUUCAACUGUGUGAGCAGGCUUAUUACCAUAUCUCUGAGGAUGAAAAUCAAACGCAGCCUUUACUAAAUCUGUUUUUUUACUGAUACAACUGUUAGAAAACAAAGAAGUGUCCGCAGGUUUAAAGGUUACAGAGGAAUAAAAGACGCGUUUAUAACGGUAAUGACGUCUUCAGACCCUCAAAGUUGGCAGGAGACCAAACCAUGAUUUCCUUUUUGCUCUGAAUCCAAACCAAACCACUUCCAGUUCUUUUCACAGCACAGUCAAAACAUCCUCGCUCAUUAACCAGCCUCUGACCCUGACAGUGACCCACCGCCAGCCUCAUGAUCUCAUGGCGUUCUCCCCUCCGCGUACAGUCAAUCCUGACCUGUUGCCGCUGCCAAUUACAGCGAGGCAGCGAAAGGAGGCUAACUCCAUAUUAGACAGAGUGAGCGUGCAGCAGCGGGCUCCAGGCACGACUUUUACCUUACGUCACGUUUCCGUCUGGGUUGAGAGCGAGACAGUGAGAACGACGGGCAAAGAUAAUCUGGUCUGGUCACUAUCUCAGUUACAUCCACACCCUGACAGGGGAACCAGUCUGGUACUCUGGGACUGAGGUUUCAGGCCAGAUUAGGCAGGAAAGGGCAAGUGAAGAACAAGGCGUCUUAAUGGACUGGGGCACCAGGACAGCUUCAUGCUGUCUGGAUAAACACUUCCCUCACAUUCACACACUUACGACUCCUUCUAUGAUGAUGUGAUGAUCACUUACAGGGGGGAGGAUUUCUGCAGCCCCUUUGCAACUAUUUCUUUACAACGUGACGCUUGCAGAAAGAAAAUGAUCAAAGUUUUACAAGCUAAUGAAGACUUUUGUUUGUUGUUUGUUUGCAUGUCAAACAUCGUUUCUUCAUUUCGCUCUGUUCGGGUGGUUACACGAUUUAUUGACGAGGACUGUGAGCGUCAGAGGACUGAUAGUUUUGCGUUGCAUGAUACAUUUGUCAGUAUUUUGAUCUCUGGUUAGGCUGGGAUAUAACCAGUAUGUAUAACCUGCACAGAUCUGUUAGAUCUGAAUAUGACCGGGAGUGGACAGCAUUAUGCUGGAUAGCGUACAUCCUGCCAGAGAAGAAGGGAAAGCUGAAAGUGGGAAAACUGAGCAAACAUUAGCAAGGGACAACACCAGGCACUAAACAGAAGAGACAUCUACCAAACUGAAGAAAACAGAAUUACAGCAAACUCAAACUGCAUCAUAGUUUGCCUUUUAAAGGACUUGGAGACUUUAAAAGUUACAGGAAAGCAAACCUAUUUACAUUUGCAAAGACAGUCAAUAAAAACACUUAAGUUUGAACAUUAAUCGAGGUACUAAAAUCAAAUAAAUCUAUCAAUAUCAAUCUUCUAAAAACAGGAUAAAAACAGUUAAAAACUCAAAUAUGUUCACAGCGAUUAGACAUGUUAACAGCCCAUCAACAGGCUUACACAGCUCCUACUUAUGGUUCCACAUAAGCACAAAAGCCUGCUACAAUGCCCAAGAGGAAAGCUCCAGUCCAGAGCAGUAAUGAUCUAUGUGUGUAUGUGUGUGUGUGUGUGUGUGUGUGUGUGUGUGUGUGUGUGUGUGUGUGUGUGUGUGUGUGUGUGUGUGUGUGUGUGUGUGUGUGUGUGUUUGUCAGGGUACACACAUGUACACACACAUGCAGCUUUCUUCAGGCGCCUCUUGUGUGCGUCUGUGUAAGAACAUGCCAGCCUUUCAUUCAUUAAUCUGUGUGUGUUUGUAUGUGCACGUGCAGUCUCUUAAUUUCAUGGGUGCGUGUUUAAAUGUGCAUGAGCUUAUUCACAUGCAUGUUCCAGCUCGUGUGUGUGUGUGUGUGUGCAGGAUCUGCAGGGCAGAUUCUUCGGCACCAGGAGCGCCGAUCUCACUUAAUCUGCAGUUAACGGCUGUUUAAACAACCUCCAUAAAUGUUUAACGUUGCUGCCCAUGCCCUAUUGAAUGGGAGGCAUUUUACUUCAUGCAAAAACAGGCCACCAGGGGCCUCAAGGGCCCCCCUGACUUGCAUUUAAUGUGUGUAAGAAGGCGCCCAUUAUCAGCCUCACAAUGACACAAUUCACUCUGGCUGUGUGUCUGCCAUCCCAUUUGGUUUGUAUCAGGGCCCCUGUGCUGCUGAUGGCUAUCUAAUUGGAAGAGUUCAUCAGGAGCUGAUGUCUGAAGAGUGGAAGUGUUCACGAUGGACUGGGCUCCAUGUGUUUGUUCCAAAAUGACUUUGUGAAGUGGAGUCAGAUGCAGUUUUGCACAGAAUGAACCAAAAAAAACAGGAGAUGACGGUUACGGAGGAGGUUUUGUGUUUGAAGGAGUUUCAUAUUUGCUCUCACUUGAGUUCAAAAACAAAGCAGCAGACUCGCUCUGUUUGUUUGUCGGAUAAAACCUUUUCCAGGAGGCGCUCGGCUUUAAACUCGGGACAUGUUUUAUACAUGUUCGGGGCUAAAAUGACAGACGUGUUCAGAAAGUUUUAGAGCUCUCUACAAGGUCGCUGCAGGCAGUAGUUUGAAAACAUGCUGCAGCACAGAGCAUCCAUGGUAAUGUGUGAUAGUAUGGAAAACUUCACCACAGGGCGCGUUUCUUUGGGAGCAUCUCUCCUUUCGAAACUGACUAAGCAGAUUUAUCCUGCUGGUCCUCUUCUGCCUUAUUUGGCGACUGUUUUGGGACUUUGAUGACCUGAAUGGGUUCAUAUCUGUGUCUGGUAAUUGAUCAGUGCCGGUCUGACAUAGUUGGCAGGGCUUGACACUAACUUUUUUUUACAAGGAGCGCGUGUUCUCCUAAGUUAAAUAAGUAAGGAGCACACAAAGACCUUUAGGGGCACAAUAAAAAUUGAUCAAAUAAUGUGUGUCUUAUAUUGGUUGACAUAAUUAUUAUGAUUUGGAAUCGAUUUUAGGUCAAUUGGUCACAUGACAUGGAAGCUAUUGAAGGAAAACAGCCUUUUUUGAGAACAUCAACCGGUAAUUUAUUGACGGUCCCUUAUUCAACACCGACGUUGACAGUGAGGGUGUCGAGUAGAUUUAACCGCGCUACUGUUGUUAUUCCCGGUUAUGGAGAGUGAGAAGACACCGGUAGAUCCUCAGAGAAUGUCCGUCAGAUAUCCAACCUAAAACUAACUUCACCGCCGUAUUUACAGGAAAAUUUAUCCAACCUAAAACUAACUUCACCGCCGUAUUUACAGGAGAAUAUAUCCAACCUAAAACUAACUUCACCGCCAUAUUUACAGGAAAAUAUAUCCAACCUGAAACUAACUUCACCGCCGUAUUUACAGGAGAAUAUAUCCAACCUAAAACUAACUUCACCGCCGUAUUUACAGGAAAAAACGUUUGUUGCCUUGGCUGAUUUUUCUAUGCGCACAUGUGACCCUAACUACAUUUUACAAUUCGCACACAUCUAUUUUUAGUUGCAAAUGUGAGUGAAACGGUCGCACUGUCGAGCCCUGCAUAGUAAUACUAAUUCAUCGUAUGGAUCAGAUUUAAAGUCUUACAUGGACGAGUGGAAACAUGGACUUCACUUCUUCCACGGUUUAACAGAAAUCCCCCUACCCUGAGUGCGCACACACUCACACACACACACACACACACACAGAGUAAAUGGUGUGUGUUGUAUGAUGAGCGGUGCAUUAACAGAGCAGGACUCCCUGCUCUCAGCGCUCUAGGGGAGCACAGUGAUUUACUGUUCCUGUUAUAAACGCCGCUCCGUUCCUUAAUGAGCCUCUGACAUGCUGCACGGUCCUGGCGUGUUUUCCUUUGCCUGGUUGGCGACGGCUCCCUGAUUACUGCCCCCAUUAAGAGGGCAUUCCCUCUGACACCAGCGUGCGCCUUCAGCCAUACGCACUCAGGCAUUACAAGCAAUCAACUGAGGCUGGGUAAUAAUGGGGGUGAGCAGCACCUGCCCUGAAACUGGCUAAGGACUAACCCUGUGCCAGAAACAUAAAACAAAGGGAGAAGUUUGGAGGACACUCUGGUGUUGGUCUAACACACGGCCUCAUGCGCUCUCCUGUACCCGGAGCAUUCAGGAUGACGCUGACAGAAGAGUCUGAGUAUCAGCGGACACUUCGGAGUAAUAAAUCACUGAGCUUCUUAUCCUUAAAGACCGCCAUUACCAUAACAACACCACAUAUCAAUUGGUCUAUAUUUCAUCUUUUAUUUAUUUUUUAUUAAGUGAUGCAAAACAGAACAUGACAGGUGAGGGACAACAAACUAAGACACAGACAGGGGAGACAAGACAAGACAGGCAAAAGCAGGUAUUAUUGUAUUUCACCUGCUGGUAGGUGGAGUUGACUUAUUAAUAACAAUAUAACAUUUGGAAAUAAUAAUGCUAACUAAUAAAAGUAAGAAGAAUAAUGUAACAGAACAAAGGGACAAAGGAAAAAAAUAAAUAAAUGAAAUUAAGAAAGAAAAGAUAUAUCUCUUUAUAUAUACAUAUAAAUAUACAUAAAGAUAAAGAUCUUAGUUCAUUCAUUUUCCAUUUAAAUUUUUCUUUUUUUGUCUAUUUGAUUUUACUUUUGCAGAAAACCAUUGGUCGUCAGUAAGAUUUUUCAAAAUAAAAAAAAACAAAAAUCUCAGAUUUUUCUCCAAAAGUAUUUCCACUUCUGCAGAAACCUCAUAAAAAAAUAUAGCUUUUGCCUUAUAUUUCCAACACUGAUUGUAACUCCAGAUGUUUCAUUUUCAGUCUCAUAUCCGAACAGAAAAAACUUCUUAAUGCUGCAGAGACUGGACUAAACCGAGACACUCACAGUGUGGAGCACUGUGAUUGAUCAAACUCUGAUUAUUGUGCACCUUCCUGCACAAAUGCACACCUUUGCAUGUCUGACUGGUCUACAUUUAGUCCAGCUUAUAUUUGUAUAGUUUUUAAUAAUUACAUCUUUUUCUAUUUAAAGGCUCUUUUGAAGCACGACUAUUAAAACACAUUAUAUUAUGAAGUCUUUGUUAUUCAGGGUUUGAUUUACUACAAUAUAUUCCUCUACCCAUAAGAAUAGAAAAACACGGGAUAUUGAAAUUAAAUGCUUCAAAUGACAGACGUUCAUGUCUAAAAUGAGCCUCUCUGUUUAUUGCAUAUGCAUUACAUGAUACACAACGAUAAGAGGUGAUGAGAAACAAGAGCACCAUUAAGGUAUUGCACAACCCUUGCAGCCUGCAUAAGGAGCUUAUUUGGAGACAUGUAUGAAGUGUGUGUGUGGUGGGUGUGUGUGUGUUUGGAGGGAAGAUUAACAGUUUGGCUAAGAUGCAUGUUGGCAAUAAAGACUAUCUGAGUAGAUCUGAAAUGGUUCAAUGUGUAAAAACAGUCAUGAAACAGACGGAAACCAGUCCUCAGUCAGUUUUAGAUUUUGGGUUAUUUGAGGAAUAUCUGCAUGAAUUUAUAUUUAUAUUAAUCUGAACUCUCCAGAUUCAGAUUUAACUCUUUUAAAAAUACAUUUUAAUUGAUUUUCCAAGACUGUAAAUGUUGUUGACAUUUAAACUCACCGCAGGUAUGUGCUCCAUGAGACCACGCUGGUGCUCCAGAGGUUCUCCUAAUCCAUGAAAGUUUAAAAACCCGUAAAAACCGUCCUCCUGAAGUCUUGUGUUCCAGUUGUCAUCAUAUAUACACCUGCAGCCAUACGCCGACUCUCACAGUUGGGCAGCUCGUGCGGCUCUAAGGCAGGUGGAGACUGACUGACAGCUGCCAGCACAACAGCUGAUACUCAAUAUCUGCACGCCACUAGUUGCAGCUGGACCAAUGGGACGUGCAGGCAGCAGCGGCUGGCUCGGCCCAGGCUCAUUCAGUAAAACCUGGGACUCCACUCAGAGGACCACAGAUCCCAGGGUGUCCCAGUUUUCCUAGGACUCCUGCGUGACCAAAUCCCCUCUCUUAGGUCUGUCUGGACCUGCCGUGCAGAGCCGCCAGCCCCAAGGAUGCUGCCCAGACGCCAUACGACGCUCGCACUCUCUCUCCUCACAAGGCUGGAUUAUUCUUGAACCACCUGGACCUCAGAGCCACCGCUCUCUGAGCAAGUUUGGACAUAGUUCACUUGGACUUGAAUUGACCCAGGGAAAAAGCUUCCCUUCAAAUGUGGCUCGACCCAACAGAACCA